GGUGGUUGUCAGGUGACGCACCCUGAUGCACCCCGGAAUCGGGCUCCUUCCUCUCUGGUUCUGGGUGCUUCACCCGAGAACCGCA
Myotis brandtii (Brandt's bat) is the source of this 85-nucleotide non-coding RNA. The record is from Rfam. Lineage: Eukaryota; Metazoa; Chordata; Mammalia; Chiroptera; Vespertilionidae.